Molecule: ribosomal RNA, 112 nt
Filed under: Clavispora lusitaniae
Lineage: Eukaryota; Fungi; Ascomycota; Pichiomycetes; Serinales; Metschnikowiaceae
Also listed under: 2 other names
Description: 5.8S ribosomal RNA
Rfam family: 5.8S ribosomal RNA
About the family: 5.8S ribosomal RNA (5.8S rRNA) is a component of the large subunit of the eukaryotic ribosome. It is transcribed by RNA polymerase I as part of the 45S precursor that also contains 18S and 28S rRNA. Functionally, it is thought that 5.8S rRNA may be involved in ribosome translocation.
Source: RNAcentral
AAAACUUUCAACAACGGAUCUCUUGGUUCUCGCAUCGAUGAAGAACGCAGCGAAUUGCGAUACGUAGUAUGACUUGCAGACGUGAAUCAUCGAAUCUUUGAACGCACAUUGC